UGAGGAAUUUUGCGCAAUGGGAGCAAUCCUGACGCAGCAACGCCGCGUGGGUGAUGAAGGCCUUCGGGUCGUAAAGCCCUGUCAGGUGGGAAGAAUGUCUCGGGACUGAACAGGUUUCGGGAGUGACGGUACCACCAGAGGAAGCACCGGCUAACUCCGUGCCAGCAGCCGCGGUAAUACGGAGGGUGCAAGCGUUAUUCGGAAUUACUGGGCGUAAAGCGCGUGUAGGCGGUCCUGCAAGUCUGAGGUGAAAGCCCCGGGCUUAACCCGGGAAGUGCAUUGGAAACGGCAGGUCUUGAGUACUGGAGAGGAUGGGGGAAUUCCCGGUGUAGAGGUGAAAGUCGUAGAGAUCGGGAGGAAUAUCAGUGGCGAAGGCGCCCAUCUGGACGGUAACUGACGCUGAGACGCGAAAGCGUGGGGAGCAAACA
This 428-nucleotide ribosomal RNA is filed under the name uncultured prokaryote. RNAcentral describes it as "bacterial SSU rRNA". It matches the Rfam family "Bacterial small subunit ribosomal RNA", at positions 355 to 774 of the family's 1533-position model. The record is from RNAcentral.